AAGGAUAUUACGGAAUGACCAUUAGGUCAUGGAAUAACGAAGACAUAUUGUAUUCAGUUUUGAAUGUUUAUAACAUUCAACAUUGCACAUUGAAAACUAGAUAAGUAAGCAAUAGAUUUUACCAAGCAAAAAACCGAGUGAAUUUCUAACGAAAUUCAACAAGCUUAAUAAUCGCGCGUCGUCUUUAUAGACGACAUCACAGAUUAAUAACUCGUAAAACUGGUAAACAAGUAUCUCACUUAAAAGCGCCUGAAAGCGUUUGAAGGUGAUGAGAUGAAAUGAAUCACGAAGUGAUGUUUACUUUUGUAAAUGAACAAGAGAUUCAUGAAUCGAAGAAAGAUGCGAACGUUUGACCAAGCUUUUACAC
RNAcentral lists this unclassified non-coding RNA (367 nucleotides) under Mammaliicoccus sciuri. Its description in RNAcentral is "Staphylococcus sciuri 16S-23S ribosomal RNA intergenic spacer". The record is from RNAcentral. Lineage: Bacteria; Bacillati; Bacillota; Bacilli; Caryophanales; Staphylococcaceae.